RNAcentral lists this ribosomal RNA (255 nucleotides) under uncultured bacterium. RNAcentral's name for it is "partial 16S ribosomal RNA". It matches the Rfam family "Bacterial small subunit ribosomal RNA", at positions 524 to 776 of the family's 1533-position model. The record is from RNAcentral.
UACGUAGGGUGCGAGCGUUGUCCGGAAUUAUUGGGCGUAAAGAGCUCGUAGGCGGCCUGUCGCGUCGGAUGUGAAAGCCCCGGGGCUUAACCCCGGGUCUGCAUUCGAUACGGGCAGGCUAGAGUGUGGGUAGGGGAGAUCGGAAUUCCUGGUGUAGCGGUGAAAUGCGCAGAUAUCAGGAGGAACACCGGUGGCGAAGGCGGAUCUCUGGGCCAUUACUGACGCUGAGGAGCGAAAGCGUGGGGAGCGAACAGG